CCUACGGGUGGCUGCAGUGGGGAAUAUUGGACAAUGGGGGGAACCCUGAUCCAGCCAUGCCGCGUGUGUGAAGAAGGCCCUCGGGUUGUAAAGCACUUUCAGUGAGGAAGAACGCCUGGUGGUUAAUACCCAUCAGGAAAGACAUCACUCACAGAAGAAGCACCGGCUAACUCCGUGCCAGCAGCCACGGUAAUACGGAGGGUGCGAGCGUUAAUCGGAAUUACUGGGCGUAAAGCGCGCGUAGGUGGCUUGAUAAGCCGGUUGAGAAAGCCCCGGGCUCAACCUGGGAACGGCAUCCGGAACUGUCAAGCUAGAGUGCAGGAGAGGAAGGUAGAAUUCCCGGUGUAGCGGUGAAAUGCGUAGAGAUCGGGAGGAAUACCAGUGGCGAAGGCGGCCUUCUGGACUGACACUGACACUGAGGUGCGAAAGCGUGGGUAGCAAACAGGAUUAGAUACCCUGGUAGUC
RNAcentral lists this ribosomal RNA (465 nucleotides) under Vreelandella stevensii. RNAcentral's name for it is "partial 16S ribosomal RNA". It matches the Rfam family "Bacterial small subunit ribosomal RNA", at positions 338 to 795 of the family's 1533-position model. The record is from RNAcentral. Lineage: Bacteria; Pseudomonadati; Pseudomonadota; Gammaproteobacteria; Oceanospirillales; Halomonadaceae.